Long non-coding RNA from Sander lucioperca (pikeperch), 558 nucleotides. RefSeq lists it as uncharacterized. The transcript has 2 exons. NCBI's taxonomy places the organism in Eukaryota, Metazoa, Chordata, Actinopteri, Perciformes, Percidae. The record is from RefSeq and is a predicted model, not a curated record.
AGUUAAAAAAUGCAAAAUGGGAAAUUUUGAUUGACUGUUUAUUAAGCAUAAAUACACAAAUAGAAACAGUGUUUACCCUGUUUAGGGCAAAGGUGGAAUUGUUCACACAUUUUAUCGCUAAUACUCUGAAGUGCUAAGUAUCACAAAAUAGCAAAGGUAUUUUUAGUUAAACAUUAUACAAAACUUUGACCCUGCCCACAUUCCUAAUGCAACACCCCAAUGAGUCACCAUCUCCAUUUAGUUCAGCACUGAUGCAAUUCACAAUGACUAGUCAAGACAACAACAGAAAAAGUCAAAGAAAGUAAAAUCAGUCUUCAACAUUUUUACUACAAGUCAUCAACUGUACAAACUGACAGAAGACAAAACAACUUUAAAUUAUAACCAUGUACAAAAAUGGCAAGGUAAUAUGAAAAUAGUGAAGAUCAGCACACACAUUGUAAUCAUACUUUGAUUUAUCAGAGAAUAUAAAAGUGCCUUAAUACAUUAAACAUGAGUUCUGUGUAAAGGUGUCAUUUUAAAUCAUAUUGCACUUAAUUAAAACAAUACAUUGCCCAGGCA